RNAcentral lists this small RNA (212 nucleotides) under Meriones unguiculatus (Mongolian gerbil). RNAcentral's name for it is "7SK RNA (ENSMUGG00000019679.1)". It matches the Rfam family "7SK RNA", at positions 140 to 331 of the family's 331-position model. Rfam says of the family: 7SK was discovered as an abundant small nuclear RNA in the mid-70s but a possible function has only recently been suggested. The record is from RNAcentral. Lineage: Eukaryota; Metazoa; Chordata; Mammalia; Rodentia; Muridae.
GGAGGAGGGUUCCCCUUUCUCCACAACCUCUUCAGCAUAUGUUGUCACUUAAGUUUCCCCAAAUAGAGGAGGACUGGUUUUAGGUCAAGGGUACAUGAGUAGCUGCGCUCCCCUGCUAGAACCUCCAAACAAGCUCAAGGUCAAUAGAAGAAAUUUUUAAUGUUAAUAUCCAUCAGUAUCUCUAACAGAACAAAGCAACAUGUUAACUACUU